RNAcentral lists this ribosomal RNA (253 nucleotides) under uncultured bacterium. RNAcentral describes it as "partial 16S ribosomal RNA". It matches the Rfam family "Bacterial small subunit ribosomal RNA", at positions 524 to 776 of the family's 1533-position model. The record is from RNAcentral.
UACGGAGGGAGCUAGCGUUGUUCGGAAUUACUGGGCGUAAAGCGCACGUAGGCGGCUUUGUAAGUUAGAGGUGAAAGCCCGGGGCUCAACCCCGGAAUUGCCUUUAAGACUGCAUCGCUUGAAUCCGGGAGAGGUGAGUGGAUUUCCGAGUGUAGAGGUGAAAUUCGUAGAUAUUCGGAAGAACACCAGUGGCGAAGGCGGCUCACUGGACCGGUAUUGACGCUGAGGUGCGAAAGCGUGGGGAGCAAACAGG